Non-coding RNA from Globicephala melas (long-finned pilot whale), 7388 nucleotides. Lineage: Eukaryota; Metazoa; Chordata; Mammalia; Artiodactyla; Delphinidae. The record is from RefSeq and is a predicted model, not a curated record.
UUUCGAGCCCCCUUCAUCCGGAGGGAGAGGAUGAGAAUCCCCGGGAAAUCCGGGGACGCAGGUCUUUUGCGAGCAGUUGGGAAGGCCGAAAGGGGAUGCAAAGUAAAUGGAUGUGGGCAAUUGGAAGAAAAGCCUCCCACGGAUGGAGGGGCCCGGAGAGAACCGAAGGAAAGUGGGCAGCCGCCGCCGCCGCGUCUCGCCGUGCUUUUCUCUGGGAUAAACGCUUACCACUGGCACCUCCAGGCGACCAAGGGGCACUGGGUCUGCUCCCCACCGCAUCCCCGGGUGUGGAGAGAGCAGCUGGGGAGCUGCAUCAGAAUCUCAAUAAAUGGAUGAUGAAUCAAUUUAAUUGGGACAGUGCAUUCUUUUUCGCUGCUUUAAGUGGAAAGGAAAGCGAUGCAAGAUUCAAGGUACAGAAAAGGCACCUCCUCCCCCCGCCGCCCCGCAACACACACGGAAAUUGCUCCCCAAAGCUCUCUUUCUCAGCAGUCUCAGCGAGGAGGUUGGAACUCCUCUGCGUCCAGAAUGACAUCUCCAUGUCCGUCCGCCUGGGCCUGCCACCUCCCGCCCCCACCGCCAGCGCCCGCCCUCCUUCGCCUGGUGGACGCUUGAGCAAACAGCUCAAAGUCCAGAAUCCCAGGCCUGACUCCUGAAACCCUGCAUGGUGUGCGGGGGUGAGGCUGGACCAUCCAGUUUUAUCAGCUCCUUCAGCCUCUUCUGAAGGUUGGGGACCAGCCAGGCUUGGGAACCCAGCUCUAAGAGCCAGCAGAGCAAAAGAAGAAGGCCUUUCUGGUGUGGACCCCCAAAUUUUCGACUAUUUUUAGACCUGUGCUAUUUUGUUUACUGGAGCCGGGCAGUCAGAGACCUGGGUUCUGGCAUGAGCGCCCCUCUCUUCUACCCAGGGAGUUGCAGUUCCACGAGUGUUGAUAAAUGUUUGCACCCAGGUGUCCACCACAUUCAAAUAUAGAACAGUGCUGUCACUCCACGUUUCCUUGUACCCACGGACCUCUGUUCUGCCACGAAAGAUUAGAUUUGCCAUUUCUAGAGCUUCCUUAUAAUGUACUGAAGGUCCAUCCAUGUUGUUGCAAGUGGCAGGAUAUCCUCCUUUCUCAAGAACACUCUGGCAAGCUGACCUGGGCAACGUGGACCAACCCUUUUACACAGACUACUAUGGAAAUGGAGUGGAGUAUGGGUCCUGCUUUGCCUACGUGGUCCCUCAGUGUGAAGACUGAAGGCUGAGUUCUUAUCGUCGAGAAGGAAGGCUGAUUCAUUCCAUCCCUCCAGAGCCGGAAGACUUACAAGAAGAUCUGGUGUAGAAAGACAGUGCCUGGUACCAGGCUGGCUUAGUCCUGUACCAGGGCUGGUGCCAUGUGGGAGAGGAGGCAGGAGCAAAGCUUUUCCCUCCAGGACACCUCCUGGGUCAGUGUCCAACCCUGGCUAGGGGAUGGGGCUGUGUCUUCUUUGUACUCUGUCAUGCAUCACUCACUUUUGGGAAACCCAGCCACCAUAUUGUGAGGACACUCAAGCAGCCCUGUGGAGAGGUCCGUGUGAAGAGGAACUGAGGCCUCCUGCUGACAGCCAGCACCAACGUUCCAGCCAUAAGAGCACACCAGUCCACAGUCAAGCCGUCCCUUGAUUUACCCACAGCUGACAUGUUGAUUGCAACUUCAUAAGAGACCCUGAGCCAGAAUUGUCCAGCUAAGCUGCUCCUUGAACUUCUGACUCACAGAAACUGUGAAAGGAAAUAAUUACAGGUGAUAAUGUGAUUAAUCAUGGUCUCACUGCUCACUAGAGGUUACUAGUACUAAUACCCCAUUUCUCAAGGACCACAGCACUGUUUUCAACAGACCAAGGACAAGAGGACCCAACCAAUCCCAGAAUCCCAUCUUUGAGGAUCAGCUUCCUAAGACCACUUUUGGUAUCAAAUAUUGGAUUAGUCAGAGUCAAGUCAGUAGAAAAAAAACCUCACUAGCUUUCUCUAUUUUAAAUUCUCUCUUUUAAAGGGACUUGAAGGGCAAAAAGGGAAUACUGAGGUAUCAAAAGGUAGUAACUGCAGAAAGCAUGGAUUAUUCUUAAGGCUUGAGAAACAAAGUUAAGAACAUGGGGCUAUUGGAACCUAGGUUCUUGGAGGAGGGGCCCUAUGGAACUGGGACUCAGAACUCUGAGAAGGAAGUGCUACCAGCUGGGGCUGGUGUAUCUGAGUGGGUAGGGAGGAUGCCACGAGUUUAUAUCUGGGAGGGCCGGAAGGACCUUGGAAAUGGGACCCACUGUUGUUGCUGAGGGGAAGGGCCAUCACUUGGUUGAUGCCAACAGGAAACAGCAAAACAGGAAAGAGCAAGUCCUUUUUUACUCCUACAGCUUUUCAGUCUCCCUUUAGUGCCCUCCAUCAGUGGCACUUAACAGGAAGCCAGCUGGCAAAGGAGAAGUGAUUUGCAAAGUCUUAGCCCCACACCACAGAGGAGAGUGUAGAAGGGUGGGUUUACUGCUCAGAGCAAUAGCUUAAUAACCUGAGUACUGGCUCCUGGAGGCCAUGGCAUCUGUAAGCCCUGAAUGAGAUGCUUAAGGAUAAUCCAUGACUAAGGGCAUUUUACUUAAGACCAGGGCUCCCCUAAAACAUUGCCUGGAACCCAAAGACGAGAUGAUAGGAGAGACUCCCCGCUAUUUUGUUUCCUUCCUCCUUCCGCAGGUGGCCUUCUUCACCUCCCUCCUGCUCCCAGCACUGGUGAGAACUCAGCUAAAUGGAGGACCACUGGGCUGUGGCUACUUUCUACACAUACUGGACCACUGUGCAUCCUAAUUAGAGCUCUGAAGAGUGCACUGCAUGGGAACGUUUUUAUGCCAUUAAGUAGUAUUAGCAAGCUUCCUUUCUUUUUUUAACACUUAAACUACCUUUUCUCAUUAGCACUGUCUUCUGGAGGGAGAGGAAGGGGCAGAAGAGCUAAUUAGUGAACUUGGGUGACUGUCUCCUACCUCUAACCUUUCCUAAACAUCUUGCCCCUUGCUAGAGGAAGCCAGAGCCUACUCUGUCUUUUGAGAAACUAUCAGAAAACAUUUGCAAAUAACUGUGAUUGCCUUACAGUGGAGGAAGGAAGCACAUUUUCCAAUUACAGCCUGGGUGAUUGCUCCGGCUUGUUUAAUUAAUGGAGUGGGCAUCUGUUUGCUGAGGCCCUUUUGAAUGCAUUUUCUGGAGUUUCUUAAUUAGCUACAAAAAGCUGCAGGUGUACUGGCAGGGGAGCAUGGUAGAGCUGGGAUGUCUUCCAGAAGAGAGAAUCUUUUUUAAUGUAAAUAUUUAGUUGUAUGAUGAUGAGGUCCAUUUUAAAGUUCUCUUCCUAUUUGCUCUGUGUGCAGUGGUGUUGGAAGAUAUAUUCGGGUUCCAUUUGGAUUGUUGACAAAAUGAAUUGAAAUGGAAGAGACCAGUUUUCAUUAUGACAGACACUUGUAUGCAGUUAGACCAUUACCAGGAUGACAAGUUAUUCUCGCGCUGUCGCGAUGAGACUGCUGUCUGGUUUUUCAGGCACAAAUGCUUGCGAGGGGAGAGGAGAUGUCACAUACUAAUUCUGUGCAUCGAAUUACACAUGCUAUAUGGAGAGACCCACGGGGGGAGUGAGAGGGCCUUUCGGCUUCCUGGUAAGAGAAGAUCGUCUCAGCAACAGGGGUGUGUCCGAAAGGUUUACCAUCCUCUGACACGGCUCUCUGCCUGUUAUUGUUUAUGAGAAUCAAAGGAUGUUGUCUCUUAUGGCAGUAAUUACCACCUCUGGAUCUGAGAGAUGAUGUUACCUCGAAAACAUUCGAGGCUGAGUUAGAGAGUCUGUGAUGAUACAGCGGGUGGGUAUCGGAGGGCACACUGAUCAACCACAGCAAACCAUGGUCAUGGGCCAGAUUUGGGCCACUGUUUCUUAACGUUUUAUUGGACCACACCCACAUCCAUUAGUUUACGUUUAUGGCUGCCUUUACCAAAUGGGCAGAGUUGAGUAGUUGUGACUGUAUGGUCUUCACAGCCUAAAAUAUUUACCAUCUGGCUCUUUAUUGAAAACUUUGCUGACCUCUGAACUGUAGGGAUUCUGUGGUCUAUUGGAUGAAGCUCGGGGAGAAAGAUCGCUACUUCUGUGGUCUCCUUUCCAGGCCUCAGUUUGCCGAUCUCUGUGAUGGGGCUAAACCUUCCUACCCUUUGUGUCUUAUUAGACUGCUGUGUGAGGUAUAACAGUUGAAACACUGUCUGAUGAAUUUUUGUAUUUUCUCACUAAGAAACACACACUCAGUAAUUGAGAAAAUGCAACAUAUGCUUUCAUUCUUUCCUUGAUGUCCUGUAUCCUGUGAACCAAGACUAAGACCAGCGAGGCACUGAAACCAAACUUGUCUUGGAUUAGCCCCUCUGUCCUUCAUUACUGCUCCCCUCCCACAUCUUUUGUAGCAUGUGUGGGACGAAGGUUCUUUUUAUUCUGGGAGAAAAGGUGCACAUGUCUGACUGUCCGAAUAGCGGUUCAUCGCUUCUCUCAUGCAUGCACCUCCCAUUCUGCCUCAAGGGUCCUUGUUAUUUUAUUCUAGGAACCACAAGUGGAGGCAGCUCUAUACUGUAGAUCUUAAUUUUUUAAUGUUGAAAACAUCUCACAACAUGGCCCUUAAGGUUUCAGGUUUGCACUUCUGGACCAGGGUUAAAUUUUGAAGGCAAACUGAUUUCAGCAAAGCAUCUUGUGAGCGUUUUUGCACAGCUCGGUGAGCGGAAGUGAUGCCCCUCUUUGGCUCAACUCCAGCCACAUCCUGGUGUCCAUGGAAAUAAUGCAAUUGAGCAGCCAAGGUAGAGAGGCUUGUAGAAGCUGCUAUUAACUAGCUAGGUGACCUUCCACAACUCACUUGCCUCUGCUGGGUUUCAUCCGCCAACAUCUGAUAGAUAUUCUCUAACAUCCCAGUCUGUUUAAAAAAUUCAGUACGUGGAGACCAGUUUCUAUUAUCUGGGUAGUGGAACAGUAGUCUCGUCCAACAUGCUCAUUCUUUUCUAAUUCCACACACCCCAUUAAGGCUGGCCUUUUCCAGGGACCCUUACGUGACAAAGCAAGGUGGGAUGAGUUGUUAAGAAGGGGUGUGUGGUCAGGGGUCCCUGCUGGACAGACGCCAGAUGUGCAACAACAGAAACUGACUCUCGCAGCCUUAAGGAGAAAAGUGACGUGUCGGGAGGGUAACGGGCAGCUUGCAGGAGCCAUAAGAAGGCUGGAGACCAGAGACCAGGGGAGGCUGGGUGGCUGAGGACAACCAGUGUUAUGCCCUGGAGUAAACUGCUGGUGCCUCCACCUGAACUCCUGCUCAGGACGCGGCUCCUCAUCUGUGUGGGUUAGAAAGAGGAGCCUGCUUUGCAACCACGUGUUACAGGACCAGCUUGGUGAGCAGAGAAUGGCCUGGAUUCAGCCCUCCAACAUGUCCUUACCCAGGCAGGGGCCACCCUAGAGCAGGGGUCAGUGGCAGCCCGCUGGACCCACCACUGCUGGCCUCUCCACUCCACUGCUGCUGUCUUUGAUGAUUUCCAUUCAGCCUGCAUUUUUUGUUUCACUACUUAUUUAUUUAUUUAAAUUGGUGUGUAGCUGAUGUACGAUAUUAUGUAAGUUUCAGGUGUACAACGUAGUGAUUUAUAUCCAUUUAUAGUUAUUAUAAAAUAUUGGCUAUAGUCCCUGUGCUGUACAGUAUAUCUUGAAGUUUAUUUAUUUUAUAUAUAGUAGUUUGUACCUCUUAAUCUCCUACCCCUAUCUGGCCCCUCCCCCUUUCCCUCUCCCCACUGAUAACCUCAGUUUGUUCUCUAAAUCUGUGAGUCUGUUUCUUUUUCCUUAUAUUCACUAGUUUGUUUUCUAUACUAGGUUCCACAUAUAAGUGAUAUCAUACAGUAUUUGUCUUUCUCUGUCUGACUUAUUUCACUAGGCAUAAUGCCCUCUAAGUCCAUCCAUAUUGUUACAACUGGCAAAAUUUCAUUCUUUUUUAUGGCUGAGUAAUAUUCCAUUUUGUAUAUAUACCACAUCUUCUUUAUCCAUUCAUCUGUUGAUGGACACUUAGGUUGCUUCCAUAUUUUGGCUAUUGUAAAUAAUGCUGCUAUGAACAUUGGGGUGCAUGUAUCUUUUCAAAUUAAUGCUUUCGUUUUUUGUGUGUGUCACUGCUUUUAGAUUUAGAGUUCUGGGCAAAAGCACUGGCUUACUUUGGCUUACUUUGACUGAGCGUGGCCCAGAUCCAAGCUGUGGGGAAGGGGAAAUACGUAUCCCCUUUGGCUACCAUAAUGGGGUUUGGGGUCCUGUGGUUUGGAUUCCCCUCGACUUGAAAGAAUAUUUCCGUGCCAGGUAGCCAAACAAAAGACAACAGUACAACUUACAGACUGCACCAAGUACAGAUGUGCAGGUUGUUCACUGCAGAAUCUAGGGGGCGCCAUUUGCAUUGUGGUCUAAAUGAAAAGUGCCGCCAGGUUCUGUGCACAGCCGCGUGUACUGUGCGGUGAUCAAAACCAGUGCACGCAUUCACCUUCUCUUCUCAGCAUCCUGUGAAUGCUGACCCAGCAGUCCCCAGUUCUCUUUGUCUCCAGAGAACAUCACAUCAAAUUCAGAAUUACACGAACAUUCUGAAUACAUCGAACAGGAGCGAGGAUUUAAUUGCUGGCUCCUUGAUGGGACUUGGGUUGAAAGUAUGCCAAUUGUCGUUCAAAUGUUUUCAGAAAUACAAAAUGGCAAAUUGAUCAUUUGUCCGUUUUCAGAGAGCUUGCUUCCUUUAGGUGAUCUCUUUUCGACCUUUACAAAAUUCAGUUUUCUCUGAUCAAAGGAAUUUGCUCUGGAAACACUUAGGGAUAUUAUGAAAGAAGUUAAUAUUUAAACUUGCUGUAGAUGUGUUUAUAUUUAAUGUUCACUUUUGAAUGCCAAAGGAGGGAGAGAGAUUUCUAAUGAUUUUUCUCAGCAAACGUGCCUUCAACAGUUGUCAAGUGUUUGAAAACAGAGUUUAAAAGGAGAUUGUUUUUCCUCCAACUAUCCUAUAAAAAUCCUAUACAUACUGUUCUCGCCUUGGUUGAGCCAUUUAUGUUCAUUUUCCCGAGUUUAAUAACAGAAAAUUCUCUUUCCAUUAUUUUAUCUAGAAGCCCAUAUUUUGACAUAAAACCAAGAAGCUUUUCCACUCCUUUCAUUUUAGUUUCCUCACUCCUCAAAGAAAAAAGUAGUUCAAUUAAAUACCAUCUAAGGGCUCCUUCGAGGCAGAGACCUUUGGAAAUUGCGCUAACCCUUUAACAUUUAGGAAAGCGUAUUUAUAGAAGCAGAAUGUCUUUGCAGUAUGUGCUUGCUGUUCAGAGAGGCAAAAACUUCCUGCACUCUCCUCUGAAGAAUGAAGUAAUUCCACUUCAAGGCUGGUCAUUAGGAGUAAUGGAGAGGCUGCCU